UAAUAAUAAUAAUAAUAAUAAUAAUGAUAGUAAAAGAACAAAAUAAAAAAAAAUUAGGGGAUAGAUUUUAAAAUGACAUAAAAAGAUAAUAAAGGACUAAAGUGAAACACGCGUCAAGAAGGAGGGACUCAUCGCGCAAUAUCCCCAUUCUUUAUACGCAUCAUUUUGCAGGACUGGAAUAGAAUAGACGCGAAAAAAUAGGGUUAAAUUGAAAAUACUAAAAAAAGGGAAAAUGACCAAAUUGAAGCCAAUCAUAAAAGCGGAGGGAUCCGCAGCGCAAAUAACCCGUUCGGUCUUGAAACGCGCGGAUCCUCUGCUAAACGGGUCGGGUCACGGGUCGGCCUCCCCAAAACGACGUCAUUUUGCAUCUGGGGAGGCCACCCAAAACGCUGUCGUUUCGGUUUUCUAUUUACGGCCCCUUUAUUUUUUUUAUUCAUUCCUUCCUCAUUAAAAAAAAAACUGCAAAACUCUCUCAUGCUCUCCAUGCCUUCCGACGAUCGGGCCUCUCACCGCCGAUCCCCCGUCCGCCGCAUCGCCACCAAAUCGACGGCCGACGAAGCAUGAGGAAGGGUUUUUAAAGCCCGGUUCCAGGCGGGCUGUGGGGUCGGGCUUUCGAGCCCCACAAGGACCGAAACAGAGGCCCACGACCCUACCUCUCGGAAUUUGGUCUCGACGACGGAGAUCCGCCCUCCGAAGGCGGUCACGGGGCGUCCGGUAAUUGAUGGGUGGUGGUAGUGAGUAGGUGGAGCAGAGGGCAGACGAUGGGACGUGACAUGCGGCGCACAUGGUCCUAGUGUGUAGCGCUGGAGGAGGGACUAGGGUUAGGAUUUCAGUUGUGUUUUACUAAAACUUAGUUAAUGUUUUGGGCCGUCGGGCUUUGGGCUUGUAACUUGGGUUUUUUAAAUUGGGCUAGUAUUGUAAUGUGAACUGGACUAUUAUUUGGGUUUUAUUAUUAUUUUUUGUUUUGAUUCUUUGGCCCCGGGCAAAAAUGGGCCUUUACAGGAACCUUUUCUCUUUUUCUCAUUACUACUUAUGGGGUUAGGAUUUUAAAACAAAUUUAAUGGGCUUGGCUA
Long non-coding RNA from Gossypium raimondii (Peruvian cotton), 1073 nucleotides. RefSeq lists it as uncharacterized. The transcript is spliced from 2 exons. Lineage: Eukaryota; Viridiplantae; Streptophyta; Magnoliopsida; Malvales; Malvaceae. The record is from RefSeq and is a predicted model, not a curated record.